Molecule: long non-coding RNA, 3453 nt
Organism: Erinaceus europaeus (western European hedgehog)
Lineage: Eukaryota; Metazoa; Chordata; Mammalia; Eulipotyphla; Erinaceidae
Exons: 2
Source: RefSeq, a predicted model, not a curated record
GAGAGAGACAGAGAGAGAGAGAGAGAGAGAAGGAAGAAGGGAGAGACUGAGAGGAUAGAUGCCUGUAAUACUGCUACAUCACUUCUGAAGCUUCUGUUCUGCAGAUGGGGACCAGGAACUUGAACCCAGAUCUGUAUGGGUGAUAGUGUGUGCACUAUACCAGGGAGUGCCACUGCCCAAAACCAUCCUUUGGAAAACUAACUAGUUUCAUUCAUUAAUCAAGCAAUAAGUAAUUGUGAUUAAACUUUUAACUUUACUUGGUUGUUACUAGACACUACACAUUGAAAGAUGUGAUAAACUGAAAACAUUGACUAUUCAAAAAGUACUUAGGCUCUUCUGAAGCAUCUGAAACUUGACAAAAUAUUCCUUAAGUCCACUGUUGUGUUUUGUUAUGCAUGUUAAUACUUGGUAGAAAUGCUGUUGUUUUUAUUUUGAAACAUGCUUUUUUUUUUUUUUAAUCUCCCUUACUCCUCAGGUUCAUUUGGUAAAUAUUUGUGGUUCCUAUUAUACUACAGUAGAUGAUGCAAGGAGAAAGUGAUGCUGAUAGAGUUCCCAUCAGUAUGUUAAACACAGUCUCAUUUAAUCCUUAUAGCAUUGUGAUAGCAUUGUGCCUGGAACUCAGUAAUAUUAAAUAAUUUACUAACAUGACAGAUGACUAGAAGCUGCACCUAGACAAAUUUGACUCCUUAGUUAGAUACUGUCUAAGUGGUACCAGUGUCAAGGGAAUUAUGGAUCAAUUGUUUGUAGCUUUCAUUUCAUUUAAAUUCUUCAGUACUAUGAGCCUUUUUAUAAUUUGAACAUGCUUAUCCUGAAAACUGGGGCUCUGAAUCUUGCUUCCCCAGCCCCAGUUAAUCUAGAGCAACUUUGCUUUUUUACUGUAUUUUCCUGCUGGACUCCUGGGUAAUAUGUCAUUUGUUUUCCUUCCAUGAGGAGUGUUGGUGGCAGGGGGUCAGGUGAGGGUGAUAGAAUUAAACAUCUGAUAACUGCAGCAGCAGUUCCAAAGAAGGAGAAAUUAUUUCCACUUGUAUAUAAUGUGAGAUUGUGAUGUUUGAAUAGAGUUUUCAAGAAAAUAAAAAUGAAGAUGACAGGUUCUGUGGCACAAAAGGAAGAUCCAGUAUUGUGGUCUCUCUCAAGUGUUUGUCUGUGUAUCUAUCUGAAUGAAAAAAAGGGGGAUGGGAGAGAAAGAACGAACAGUGGUGUUGUGUGUGCAAGAUACUGAUUUCUUAGUCACAGAACAGAUAUUUGAUCUCUAGAAUUGAGUGUAUAUAUUUUUGUGAACCUGCAGGGAUAAAAGUAAUCUGUUUUUUUACAAUUUGAGGAAUACAUUAUUUAACUUCAUCUCAGAAAAACUAGAUUGAGUAUAGUUUUAUUAUCAUACUCAUGAGAAUAAUGAUACUAUUUGCAACUAUUGCAUUUUUAUUUACACUCACUGAUAAUGUUGAGUGUACAAUUUUGAACUUCUUUGAACUUGCAUCUGUUUCUUUAUAUCUUUUCUUCCUGUAAUUUUCUGUAUGUACAUACACAUUUUUAUUUGAAGAAACUUUGUUGGAAAUUUGUUUGCAUUCAGUAGCUUUACUGUUAAGGAAUGAAUGAGAAUUUGAUGCUCUUGAAAAUUGGUUUAGCAUAGAGUUUUGCAGCCUUAUUUGGUAUAAAUGGAAUUUUCUUUUUACUUCAAAGUGGAGCACUUUUAAGAAAUUUUGGAUUGCAUGUUGGCAGUGGGGAGAGUAAGUAAUUUUAAAAACAUUUUCUAAGUCGAGAAAGUCCUUUUCACACUUAAGUAUCAAGGCGAUACUGAAUGAAGUAUGUGGAGUCAUUGAUAGUUCAGGUUUUUGAAAUUUUAAGGUAGUCACAGGUGUAUUCUCACUGGCAAAUGUGAACAAGACCAGAUUUGGAUGCACUCUUAAAUACAUCAGAAUCUGUGGAAGCCUGACUAUUAGGUAUCUGUUAGUUUCAUUCCAAUUCUGACUUUUUAAAAAUAUGGUAAAUAUUACUUUGCUAGUACACAUCUGGAGUCUUGCACACUGAAGUAAAUAUAGCUGUGGUUAUUUGAAUGAUUAACCACAGCCCUGGCAAUGCAUUUAGUGUUGAAGAUAAACCUUAUAAGGUCAUUUACAUAUGAAAAGAAGACACUCUACAUGAAUUAGGUAUCCUUGGUAGGUUUUACUAUUUUGCCCUUACCAUGGCUAUUUCUGGCUUAAGUCAUUUAAAAUAAGUUUUUUGUUUGUUUGUUUUUUAUUACAUAGGACCCAGGUAGUGGUUGUGGUAUACCUAUUAGAAUGCACAUGUUACAGUAUACAGGGAGGAGUUCCCCCCCAUCCAUACCUCCAGGGGGAAGAAGCGUCAUGAGUGGUAAAGCAGUGCUGCAGAUCCUUUCUCUCUCCCCUCUCAAUUUCUCUUUGCCUCUGUCCAAAAUAAAUUUAUUGUAUGGUUGUCAGUGUAGUGUGGUUAUUGAAACAUAGCUCAGAGAUGUCAGGUAAAUCUCAUAUACUAAGCAGUCAUUUUUUUCUUUCAUAUGUUAACCUCUUAACCUACUCUUAUUACAAAGUAUUGGUAAUUUUAUAAGCAGAAUAAAAACAUUAGUGUGAGUUUGGAGGAGGAGGAAGGUAAGGGUGUUUUUAGCCCUUUCAGUUUCUUUUUAAAAUUAAGAACCUCAGAGAAUAGUAUAGAAUUUGAAUUUAUUUAUUUAAUUUUAUUUAUUUACAGAGCUGGGAUGCUACAUAUGCACAUUUUUACUUCUCUUGGGCCAAUUUUGUUUCAUUCCUUUUUGAAAUUUCAGAUAGAAAAAGAGGGAGAAAGAAAAGGAAUGGCAUUGCAACAUUCCAUUGUCAGUGAACCUUUCUCUGGUGCUGUCCAUGAUGCCCCAUGUAGUAUUUGGAUUCAAACUUGGAUGCUUGAAUAUGGCAAAGCAUGUUCUCUACCAGGUCAGCUAUCUUCUAGAAGAUUGCUAAUUGCAAAAUUCCUUCUUAAAACUAAUAUUAGUAGGAAAUAUAAGAAAAUUGAUGCUGGUAAAAAAAAAAUCAGUGGGUUUGAUUAUUGAUCUUUUACUAGUGAAUAUAUACUCACUGCCCUAUACACUGAUUAAACUUUUUAUUUUUAUGUAUUUUAUUUUUGAGAGAGAGAGAAACACCAGAGCACUGCUCAGCUCUGGCUUAUGGUGGUGCGGGGUAUUGAACCUGGAAUUUAGGAGCCUCAGGCAUGAGAGUCUGUAUAACCAUUAUGCUAUCUCACCCACCCUAAACUUUUUAUUGUACAUUUAACUGAACUUUCUAGAAACCUGAAAUAGUCUAGAAAAAUUUAUUGAGCUUGUGGAAUAGCUCCCUUGGAUACUGUUCUGCAUUGCUAUGUCUGCAGUCCAGUUUUGAGCUCUGCAUUGAAGGAUGCUUUAGUUUUGUGGUCUCUUGUUCACUUUGUUCGCCUGCUCACUUUGCUGCUCUACACCUCUGCCUCUAUCUU